This 2096-nucleotide long non-coding RNA is filed under the name Homo sapiens (human). RNAcentral describes it as "non-protein coding NEAT1:11". The stretch from base 1140 to 1298 matches the Rfam family "Nuclear enriched abundant transcript 1 conserved region 3". The record is from RNAcentral. Lineage: Eukaryota; Metazoa; Chordata; Mammalia; Primates; Hominidae.
CGCGCCUGGGUGUAGUUGUGGGGGAGGAAGUGGCUAGCUCAGGGCUUCAGGGGACAGACAGGGAGAGAUGACUGAGUUAGAUGAGACGAGGGGGCGGGCUGGGGGUGCGAGAAGGAAGCUUGGCAAGGAGACUAGGUCUAGGGGGACCACAGUGGGGCAGGCUGCAUGGAAAAUAUCCGCAGGGUCCCCCAGGCAGAACAGCCACGCUCCAGGCCAGGCUGUCCCUACUGCCUGGUGGAGGGGGAACUUGACCUCUGGGAGGGCGCCGCUCUUGCAUAGCUGAGCGAGCCCGGGUGCGCUGGUCUGUGUGGAAGGAGGAAGGCAGGGAGAGGUAGAAGGGGUGGAGGAGUCAGGAGGAAUAGGCCGCAGCAGCCCUGGAAAUGAUCAGGAAGGCAGGCAGUGGGUGCAGGGCUGCAGGAGGGCCGGGAGGGCUAAUCUUCAACUUGUCCAUGCCAGCAGCCCCUUUUUUUCCAGACCAAGGGCUGUGAACCCGCCUGGGGAUGAGGCCUGGUCUUGUGGAACUGAACUUAGCUCGACGGGGCUGACCGCUCUGGCCCAGGGUGGUAUGUAAUUUUCGCUCGGCCUGGGACGGGGCCCAGGCCGGGCCCAGCCUGGUGGAGCGUCCAGGUCUGGGUGCGAAGCCAGGCCCCUGGGCGGAGGUGAGGGGUGGUCUGAGGAGUGAUGUGGAGUUAAGGCGCCAUCCUCACCGGUGACUGGUGCGGCACCUAGCAUGUUUGACAGGCGGGGACUGCGAGGCACGCUGCUCGGGUGUUGGGGACAACAUUGACCAACGCUUUAUUUUCCAGGUGGCAGUGCUCCUUUUGGACUUUUCUCUAGGUUUGGCGCUAAACUCUUCUUGUGAGCUCACUCCACCCCUUCUUCCUCCCUUUAACUUAUCCAUUCACUUAAAACAUUACCUGGUCAUCUGGUAAGCCCGGGACAGUAAGCCGAGUGGCUGUUGGAGUCGGUAUUGUUGGUAAUGGUGGAGGAAGAGAGGCCUUCCCGCUGAGGCUGGGGUGGGGCGGAUCGGUGUUGCUUGCCUGCAGAGAGGGUGGGGAGUGAAUGUGCACCCUUGGGUGGGCCUGCAGCCAUCCAGCUGAAAGUUACAAAAAUGCUUCAUGGACCGUGGUUUGUUACUAUAGUGUUCCUCAUGGCGAGCAGAUGGAACCGGGAGACAUGGAGUCCCUGGCCAGUGUGAGUCCUAGCAUUGCAGGAGGGGAGACCCUGGAGGAGAGAGCCCGCCUCAAUUGAUGCCUGCAGAUUGAAUUUCCAGAGGCUUAGGAGGAGGAAGUUCUCCAAUGUUCUGUUUCCAGGCCUUGCUCAGGAAGCCCUGUAUUCAGGAGGCUACCAUUUAAAGUUUGCAGAUGAGCUUAUGGGGGGCAAUCUUAAAAAGUCCACAGCAGAUGCAUCCGGCUCGAGGGGCCAUCAGCUUUGAAUAAAUGCUUGUUCCAGAGCCCAUGAAUGCCAGCAGGCACCCCUCCUUUCCUGGGGUAAAGGUUUUCAGAUGCUGCAUCUUCUAAAUUGAGCCUCCGGUCAUACUAGUUUUGUGCUUGGAACCUUGCUUCAAGAAGAUCCCUAAGCUGUAGAACAUUUUAACGUUGAUGCCACAACGCAGAUUGAUGCCUUGUAGAUGGAGCUUGCAGAUGGAGCCCCGUGACCUCUCACCUACCCACCUGUUUGCCUGCCUUCUUGUGCGUUUCUCGGAGAAGUUCUUAGCCUGAUGAAAUAACUUGGGGCGUUGAAGAGCUGUUUAAUUUUAAAUGCCUUAGACUGGGGAUAUAUUAGAGGAAGCAGAUUGUCAAAUUAAGGGUGUCAUUGUGUUGUGCUAAACGCUGGGAGGGUACAAGUUGGUCAUUCCUAAAUCUGUGUGUGAGAAAUGGCAGGUCUAGUUUGGGCAUUGUGAUUGCAUUGCAGAUUACUAGGAGAAGGGAAUGGUGGGUACACCGGUAGUGCUCUUUUGUUCUUGCUUCGUUUUUUUAAACUUGAACUUUACUUCGUUAGAUUUCAUAAUACUUUCUUGGCAUUCUAGUAAGAGGACCCUGAGGUGGGAGUUGUGGGGGACGGGGAGAAGGGGACAGCUUGGCACCGGUCCCGUG